CAGAUAUCAACAAGCUAUUUUUAACAACUGAAAGAGUCUUUCAAAUUUUGGUAAACAUUGUAACGGGAUCUUUCUUGAAUGCAUAUACUAAUUUAUAUUGAGCUUGACGCCUUAUCAACAUCAAGGUAAAUCAAAUACUUUAAUAUUUGUUCUAAGAAUGAUUUUUUUCUUAUUCUAUCUAACAUUCUUUGACAGACCUAAUGAGAAAAUUUAGAACUUUGUUAAACCAACAGUAGCUGGAAAAAAUUGAUAUGACUAAUUUGACGUAAAAACACGUGAGUUUGCUUACAUUCAAGGGGAACACAUACAAAUUUAUAAAUGAAAUAAAGUUCUCAUUUAAAUAACACGUUUACAGCAGUUUUCCGAUUUUUGUAAAUAUUUCAAAAUAUUUUCUAUCAAGCAAAAACGUUAUUAUUGAAAAAUCGUUUAUAUCAUUACCGUAAGAAUUCAUUAGACAUGUUAGAGAGGUAUCCAUUGGCAAUGAUAAAAUAAUCAUUUCAAUAAUAUUUACCCUGAUAAUUCAAUUGUUUUGGGUUCCCCUGAACACCUGGAACAUUUUGUAAUAUCUUCAUGUCCUAUAAACAUGAUAAAUGAAAAUAACACUUUAUAAUUUCCAUGCGCUGAAACGGUCUUCUGAAGAAAGAAAGAAGAAGGUAAUAUUGGUGAUAAAGACAAAUUGAGAUAUUCAUAAGUUCAUAACACAUUGCGGUACUGACAAAUCCGUUAUUUGCCACAAAGCCUCUGAUUUUAUAUAAGUUAAAGAAAAUAGAAAAUUUUUAGAACUAUGGUUAAAAGUAUAAUCUUGCUAUGAUCAUAUCUUAUCUGAUUAAGAACUUUCAAUUGUGUUUUUAAAUUGUUUACAAUACAUUUUGGUGUAUAAAUAUGGUAAACCAAUAAUAAAAUUGAGAAUGGAAAUGGGGAAUGUGCCAAAGAGACAACAACCCGACCAUAGGAAAAAAAAAAACAGCAGCAGAAGGUCACCAACAGGUCUUCAAUGUAGCGAGAAAUUCCCGCACCCGGAAACGUCCUUCAGCUGGCCCCUAAACAAAUAUAUACUAGUUCAGUGAUAAUGAACGCCAUAUUAAUUUCCAAAUUGUACACAAGAAACUAAAAUUAAAAUAAUACAAGACUAACGCAUAACAAUACUCACAUUACAAUUCAGUCCAAGAGAUGUCCGAGUCUGAUGUCAGAAGAUGUAACCAAAGAAAAUAAACAAAAUGACAAUAAUACAUAAAUAACAACAGACUACUAGCAGUUAACCGACAUGCCAGCUCCAGACUUCAAUUAAACUGACUGAAAGAUUAUGAUUUCAUCAUAUGAACAUCAGGCACAAUCCUUCCCGUUAGGGGUUUAGUAUCAUACCAUCAUAACAUAUAUGAGAAGAACAUAACCCGUGUCAUGCCAACAACUGGUUUUUGAAUAAAUGUGUUUAGUUCCGAUGCAAAGACCCUAUAAGUGAAUCAAUAUUAACGCCAAAAUAUGCAAUUUUUAAUGACCUGACAACAGUAUCGUAACAAUAUCCCUUCUUGAUAAGUCUAUUCAAAGGUUUUAUUAAUUUUUGAGGUGAAUACUGACACCUUUGUGCUUUAUAAAGAAUAUUUCCAUAAAAAAUUGGAUGUGAAAUACCUGAACGUAUAAGAAGUCUGCAUGUUGAGCUAUAUUUACGAAUGAUGUCCUUAUACCGAUGAUACAAUUUAGUAAAUGUUUUGACUGGUUUGUGAUAUCGAAAACCCUGGUGUAAUAAUUUUUCAGUAAUACAUAAAUUUCUCUCGUUAAAAUCUAAAACAUUGUUACAUACACGAGCGAAUCGUACAAGUUGAGAUAUAUAAACACCGUAAGAUGGUGACAAGGAAACGUCACCAUCUAAAAAUGGAUAAUUAACGAUAGGAAAUGAAAAAUCAUCUCUUUUAUCAUAAAUUUUAGUAUUCAGCUUUCCGUUAGUGAUAUAGAUAUCAAGAUCGAGGAAAGGACAGUGGUCAUUGUUAGUAUUAGCUUUAUUUAAAGUAAGUUCAGCAGGAUAAAUUUUUUUUAAUAUACAUACUGAAGUCGUCAUUAUUGAGAGCCAAAAUAUCAUCCAAAUAUCUAAAAGUAUUAUUAAAUUUGUUUAUCAGAUGUUGUUUCGAUGGGUCUUUGUUUAUUUUUGUCAUAAAUUGUAACUCAUAGCAAUACAAACAUAGGUCCGCAAUAAGUGGUGCACAGUUAGUCCCCAUUGGAAUUCCUAUAAUCUGACGAUAUACGGAAUUCCCAAAGCGAACAAAAAUGUUAUCUAGUAAAAAUUCAAGUGCAUAUAUAGUAUCAAAGCAUGUCCAAUUGACAUAGUUUUUUUGUUUAUUGCUACUAAAAAAUGACCUAAAAGAGUUUGAACAUAUAUAUUCACAUUCUGACUUUUUAAAUGCCCAUUUAAUAAGGUGUGUGAAUUUUUUCUUAAUGAGAAUGUGAGGCGAUGUGGUAUACAGGGUAGAAUGUCGACUUUUCAGAUAUUCUUUUUUCACACAUAUAUAAGAUCGGAAAGUCAUACAUUAAAUACCCAUUUUAUACAAAUAAUUCAUUUCAAUUUGAUAUCAGAGACAAGGUAGAAAUUAAAUUCUCCGUUUCAGAGAAUCGAGACAAUAACCGAUCAGUUUGGUCAUUGGUAGUCAAUCAUGUUCGUUCGUUUUAUUUAAUUCCUUUUGUUUUAUUCCAUAUUAUUAACGUGGUACAGUUUUCCCUCUUUAGAAAAUGCCUGGCAUAACAAUACAGAUAAGUCACAUUACAAAAUUGUUCAUACUCAGGUUUGUUCAGUACGUUCUUUAUGUAGAAAACAGUUAUCCUACUCUUGACGAAUGAUGCUUGAUGAGUUUUUUUUUGUGCUAUAUGGGUGUUACUCCUUCUACACAUGAUUUGUACAAAUGUAUUAAAGAUACCCUACCCAAACCCCUUACAAGGUGUGUGUGAUUGUGUAAUUGGGUUUUAUGGUCAUUGGGUUAGUUUAAAUCUGAAAAAAAAAUUACGUCCAUUUUUUUUUAAGGUUUUUUCGAGAACACAAAAUAUUUAGAAAGAAAUAAAUUAGUUCUCUACCAUUUCAUGUUCAAAUAUCAUACAUCAUGGCUAUACUUUGUAAAAAUUAUAUUACUAAGUUACUCAUUAUUGUAUUGAUUGUUUGGUUACGCUGUAAUUUGCAAGUAAAUACAAAAUGAAUGCAUAUAUCCUUUUAAUUUAAAGUUUAGACUUUCAUUAUGAUAACUUGCAAGUCAUAAUCUUCGUAUUGUCCUAAUAGUCCGGCUGAUCGGUGAAAAAAUUGCACAAAUAAUGAGGAAAGCACCAAUUUUUGCAUGAUGGUACAUUUUUGUGUACUGACAAGUAUUAGCUAUGGACCCACUGUCCAAAUUCAAUAUGGCGGCUUAUUUCAAGAUGGCUGCCGUACGUUCUAAAAUAUUUUCCAGUAUUGUACAAACCACAGUGGAUUUGAUGCUGAAAGCCCAAAAAUCAACAUAUUUUAAUGACUUGGUGUACUUAGCAAGAUUUUGUUUUGAUCUAUCUUUGAAAUACAAAAUGGCGGCAAUUUUCAAAAUGGGCGCCUUGAAAAAUAUGCAAAUAUUCAUUAUUGAGAAUUGACCUGAAUAUAAGCAUUGUAUUGAUGUAUAGUGUCAUUUAGCAUCUGUCUCAGUUCUGUCCUUUUUUAUUUUGCUUGGCUUGUCCUUUCAUACACAAAGUAGUAGCUUUCAUAAAAAGCUGCAGUAGUAGCUUUCAUUAAAAGCUGUACUAUUUGUUGUCUUGGGUCACACAUAAAAGCUGUGAUUUGGGAUUUAUCUGCCUUAAGAUAUUAUUCAGUGCCUAUCUUAUUUCUUGGGUCGCAAUAUUAUACUGUGAUUUGAGAAUCAUUUAAAAACAUAUCAGUGAAAUGGCAGGAAUGGAGGACAACAAGGACAAGAACUUUGAAAUGGUAGAAACUGAAUCACUUUGGAAAAUGGAAAAACCAACAGCUGAAGACGCUUUAACAGAGGACAGUUCAGAAAUGACUAUUAAACAAUUGUGCCAAGAAUUUUUAGCAGAUAGAAAAUCUAAUGCUCAAAGAACAGCUGAGAUUUACCGCAAAAUAAAACAGAGCGAAGCGCGAAUUGAUAAAAUAUGUGUUGGUCUCAUUACGAUUCAAGCUGAACAGAAAGAGGCAAAGAAUAUUAGUAACGAACAGAUGGGAGCAAUAUCUCAGCAACUUCAGCAGUCUGAAGACAGGAUAGACCACAAGGCUUGUGGUAAUUGCUUGGCGGAAUUGAUGGUCAGACCAUUUAGAUAUUCAAUGUUGUGGUGAGACGAAUUGACAAGCUGAUAACAACUGAGGAAGGAGACACAGUUCAAUUUAAAAGUGUAUUGGAACAGCAGGGUACCUUCCAACAACUGGCAUCUGUUGUAAAUGAAUUAGUGGACAAUCGAAACAAAGAAGAUAAAAUUCCUGCAAUGGACACAUCAUCUAAACCUUAGCCAGUACAACACAAGUCUGCCAAAAGUACACAACGAAAUCCAUGCCUUGGGUCUUUCCCCAAUUGUAGUUCGCAUGAACCAUCAACCACGCCAACUCUGUUGAAGAUGUCUUCACCUUAAGUCAAAAUUCUUAUGUCAGGGCCCUUGGCCCUCCAUGAGACAGUUCAAACUAUUCAACGAUAAUCUCCAUAUAAGAACAUACUGUAAACCUCUAGUACUAAUCAAGGAUACCAGCAAAAGGCUUAUGUGUCCUCUUACGCACAAUUACCAUCUACUAUGAGCCAAUAAUAUUUGGUUUAGAGCAGCACACCCUUACAGAAACAAUUGACUGCAAGUGGAUCCUAUCAAGUUUCUCCAAUGCUGAAUGCAGUGCCUACUUACGGUAUCAUCCCCGUCGAGUCAAUGGCAAAUCCCAUAUUUAUCACUCCAAUUAUGACAACCUCGUCAGCUCCUUGAGUUCUAACAGGCUUUCCAUAACAACAAGUUGACUACACUGACCGAUCCAGGAAAGGGCAGAGGAAACCUACAGAGUGUGGCAACAGGUCUUCUUCAGACUCUUCAUUAUUGAGAGAAUAUACCCGAUGGCAAGAAAAUAUUGGUGUAAGGGACCGGAGCCGAAGCCCACAGCUGCCAAAAAUGCAAAAACUCGAUUGAAGAGGAUCCUUGAAUUGGGAGGCGUUCAUUUAACAAUUUGAACGAACUGCCGACUGAUGACAAUGGGAAACAGGAAAAAUGUGUGUAGGCCCAGGUUUUGCCAGGCCCAUGUUGGCCCUGAGUAUGCUCGCAAGGUAAACACAAAUGAUGAUUCCAAGGCCAUAAAAAAACCCAUUGGAGCAGCGCUUCAGCAAGAAAGACGAUCAAACCAGAUUGGAACCGGAGCAUUCCACCGAGGAUGUAAAGACAAAAAUUCUUCAUGGCAGGUAAAAAGUAAGAUCACAAAAAUACUGAACUCGGAGGAAAAUCAAAUCGAAAAGUCCCUAAUCUUGACAAAAUCAAAUAACAAAACACAUAAAAAAAAGAACAACUAUCAUAUACCUGACUUGGUACAGGCAUUUUCAAAUGUAGAAAAUGGUGAAUUAAUCCUGGUAUCAUAGCGCUAAACCUCUCACUUUGUACGACAGUUUAAUCAAAUUCCGUUAUAUUUACAAUGAUGCGUGAACUAAACAGACAUAAUAAAUAAAAUAGUCAACAUAUGGGCACAGCAGUAAUCAUAAUAGAGAGCAACCCAGAAACAUUCAACAAGGCGUUUAAACAAUUGAAAACCUCAAUAGCAAACCAGAUGGCGAUAUAUGAAUCAAAAAGUGCCAAUUAUGACCAUCGACAAGUCCACUUUGCUGAUGGCGCAGUAUCACCGACCGAUAAAUAUGAGCAGUCCUUUGGAUAAUGAGAUGCAUAACCUCACACAAAUUAUCACAAAACUAGCUGAUGUUAUGCCUUCAACUAAUCAGCAAAACCGUGAAUUGGCCGAUCAAUAUAACCUCGGCUCUUCUAAUCUGAUAUUCAUGGAAGAUCACCUGAUCAAUAUGCACGUGGAAGAUUUCCUGAGCAAUACAAUCGCGGUAGAUCGCCAGAUAGGAAUACACCCAAGCUUAAUGCCUAUCGAUCAGCAACACAACACCUCACUAAGCUAGAGAUCAUAUAGUCCAUAAAGACAACGGUUAGCAUCUCCAGGAUACGGAGCAAAUCAAAGCGCAACCCAACAAUGGAAUUUUACACAGCAUAGGGUCGGGCCAGCAGCCAACGCACGAUUCAAAGUCUAUUGGCCAUGAAACAUCAUCUCAUCACAAAAUCGAACAGAGGCACACGGCUUCGUCCGAUAUUGUCAUUAGACGAAGUUAUACUUAGGCUAGAUAUUUUGGACACACUUAGCGCAUUGAUAAACCUGAGUACUCCCACACUUACCAUCAAUAAUAAAGUGAUAAAUGCGGCAUUUGUUAACAGUGGAAACGAGAUUUCAACUCAGCAAGUUUGCAUAAAACAAACCAUCACAGUUCCGCCAAACUCAGAAAUAACUGUUACCAUUAAAACUAAUAAAAAAUGCUGACCAGGAGUGCAUUUGAGGACCAUGCUCGCUGAAUAGUUGCGAAUUGGUUUCGCACGUAGUUGGAAAAGGAAUUAGUUGCCCCUUAACCAUUUUAAAUGAUGGCAAUUGUCUAAUUCGCCUGAAGAAAGGUACACCUAUUGAUUACAUAGAAUAAUUGGACGAUGUAGUGGAUACGGCAGAUGAAAACGCGAUAAAUGACGUAAGACGUGGCAUUGAAGAGAUCCGAGACAAGGUGCCCUCUGCACUGCCUGAAAGUUCAGAUGAGUUACCUGCUAUUCCACCACAUUUAACCGACCUAUAGAAAUAACCAAAUUAUUUUUUUUAUAUUUUAAAAUUAGUUGAUAACAAAUUCAAGAACAUGAAGUCCAUUUUUAAAGAAUCAUCACUUUAAUUUCCUAAAAUAUAUAGAAUACCUUAGGGACAGUCUUGAUAUUUAUACCGUUUUUCCGCCAUCUUGAAAAUGGCAGCCAUAUUGGAUUUUUCAGAGUGGGUCCAUAGCUGAAAUCAAAGGGUAUAUAACCAAGAACUACUAUGCAAAGUUUCAUGCUUUCCUCAUCAAGUGAGCAAUUUUGUUCUAUAUCUGCACCAAUCGGCCGGACUAUAAUCUUCUACAAUAUCUAUUUUUAAGUCAACUGCAAUUUUUUUGUCAACCUUUUAAUCAAUUUUAAAGACGCAAAAUAAAUUAUCGAUAACCGAAAUACUUUAAUAUGCUUCUUAAAUAGAUAAAGUGCAAGGUCAUUCCUAUGUAUAGAGUGAUCUGUAUACUUUAAAAAUUAAACAGUUUAACUAUACUGUCGGUCUGUAUCUAAUAUUAGAAUAUGAUUGUCAAUAAAUAACAACUAAUACAAUGUACAAGGAUUGUAUUAUUGGGUGACAUUUGAAUUUUCAUUUCUUUAUCUUCCUUUUUACAACACAAUCUUAACCAGAAAUGAAAUGAAAAGUAAACUAACAAAAAUACCAAACUCCGGGGAAAAGUCUAAAUCGAAAGUCCCGUAGCAAAUGGCAAAAAAAUAAAGCUCCAAUACAUCAAACGAAUGGAUAACAACUGUCAUAUUCCUUACUUGGUACAGGCAUUUUCUGAUGUAGAAAAUGAUGGAUAAACCUGGUUUUAUAGCUAAUGUUAGAUCCAAUAAACCAUGAUCGUUCGGCGUGCUUUUUAUGUGCAUGGAAACAUUUUUGUCCAAGUAUUAUUUCUGUUGGUUAAACAUUUAAAAUUGGAAUUUAAGUCGGCAAUUGCCAUUGCAAGUUGAGUAUUAAAAUACUGUACUUGUCGUUAAUGAGUGUUGGAGGUUUAAGACUAUUAAAUUUAUCGUAGCGAUAAAAGAAUAGAACACUUACACGAUGAAGCUUUAGAUAUGUGUGAAUAAAAAAGGAGAAAAUUUUGAUCCCAAGGAGAAAAAUACGGAAACGAAAACGAGAGAUUUAGCAAUAUGUAUAAACUCUUACAACAUAUUUAAGAAAUUUUCAAUCGACAAAAGUGAAAACAAUUGUUUUUUAUCCAAAGGCUAUUCCUUCGAUAUACAGGUGUUCCAUUGUUGGUUUUAGCGUAUUUUUGUGUUAGUUUGGAUUUUUUGUCGGCUUUUCAAUCUUUAAAUACACAAGCGUUUUGGUUUCUGCUGAUUAAUUAAUUAGGAGCUACACUGACGGGAACAGAAAUAAUCAGUAUAUGCUCGUAAUUUCACAAGAGAUGGAUCCAAAUUUCAGUCCUCCUUUAUGGCUUGAACAUUAUUUAUUUCUUUUUUUAAUUUUUGACUGAAGCCACAGUCCGAUCUCCAUAUCCUAUAACGCAUCAAAUUUGAACACUCUAUAUCUACUAUUUUUCUAAGAAUCCUUGAUCCGGUAAUAGUUCGUAUUCAAUUAUUUUUAAAUAAGUUUUGUAUAUGAUCUUGUACAAUGUAAAAUGUUUGCAUUUAACAAUGAUUCAAAUUUCAAUAAAUAUUGGAAAAAACCUUGUAAGAUCUGUUGACUUAAGGAUACGUUCUAAAUUUUUUAGUGACCAAGAGGCUUUUACAUUGCCAUCAUAACAUGCGUAAUCUUCUAUUUACAAAUCAGAAAUAUUUACAUAUUACAAUAGUCAGGCUUAGAUGGUACUUCAAUGCAAUGGUAUACAUUAGCUGUAAACACUCUGGUAAGGGAUUCAAUAUAAUAUUAAAUUCCAGACGGAUGUUUAUCAUAAGACUUCGACCUGAGUGUACAUGAGCUAUUUUUAGCCUCGGAAAAUUUCCAACUCCCACACAAAGUAGAAAUCGUAUAUAAACAAAGAAUCGAAAAGAAAGUAUUAUGAUAUUAUAUAUUAAAAAGGCAAGGGCUAGAAACAUAAAGAUUAAAGUGCAUUGCUGUUUCUUAGAAAAUACUUGUGUGUUUUUAAAUAGAAUAUUUUACCUACAAAGGUAAGAUAAAUAAUUUUUAGUCUUUUUCUUUUUUUUGCUUUCGUAUUAUAUCCAACAGUGAUAAUAAGAAGCUUGUAUAAGGUUUUUUUUGCAAUUAUAGCAAUUCAGAUCAAAAAGAUUUAAAAAUGUUUAAAAAAGAAUCUAUUUUGCUCAAAAUCUUAAAAUGUAAAAGGCUUUAUACAAAUUAUGGUGAAUGUGUUUGUAUAAAACAAUUAUUGUCUCAUGACAUAGGACCGUGCCGAAUUUCAUUUUAAUUAUUUUUAAAGAAAGCUAUUUACUGUGUCAAACAUUUGUGUCAGAAAUGAUCUUCCUAAACAUCACAUGUGCUUUAGUUUUUUCGUAUUCAUGCACUUAAAUUUCCUUUAUUUGUAAAUGCAAACGUUUAUUUAUUUUCAUAAAUUGUUCAAAAUUUUAAGGACAGUUUUUUCAUUUGCAUAUUUGAAAUAAAUAAAGAGAAAUAACAAUUUUACAUUAUAAAAUACUAUAAUUCACCAAAGACAUAUUAAACGACCGCUUUUACAUAGUUUGUUUAUACAUAGAGGACUCAUAUAGGCUUUCAUGUGUAAACAGCUGUCUAAAGAGGAAGAAAACAUAAAAGUUUUGCUAACAUGUUCAUAAUUUUUUCCGUUUUCUUUUCUUAUUUGGAUGUCUAAACAGCUUGCAAAGUAGACUCUUGUGUGACAAAUUUCUGAAUUUUAUCAAAUUAGUCAUCCAGUAUUUUUAAUUUCCUUGUAUCUUGCAGAAUUAAGAAGUUCUUUAGUUGGAAUGUAUGGUGAAAUGAACUGCGACAUAUGUAAAAUGGUACACUUCUUCCCGGAGCAUAUCAGAAGGCAUGUUGUGGAAGUUCUCAAAACUGGCAAAGUUUGUAAGGAACUACUCCAUUAUGACAACAUCUUGAUGUAUUUAGAAGUGAGUUGCAUAUCACUUCCUCUGAAAACAGCUUGCGAGGAGAAGCUUCUAGAACGCGUAGAAGUGGAUGAAUGCAAUAUACGCUUUACAAAUUGCGGAAAAGUAUGAACUUGUAAUUCUCAAGAAGAAAGCCAUAGAGUUGAUAGCCGACCAUUUCAAGAAUCUGUGGGAUACUGAUUCUUUCGUGUACCUUCAUGAACAUAGCUUAGAAAAAAUUUGUCAGGUCGAAAAGGUUUUUAAACAUGAUGAUGUUUUCCGAGCUUUGGAAAAAUGGCUAAAUUGGAAUCAUGAAAAUCGUUUGAAGUUUUACGGUAAACUUUUACAUUUGGUCCAGAAACAGCGCUCUCCACGAAAAUAUUAUGACACUGAAAAGACAUACCAUUUGUAUCAUGCCAUGAUCAUCCCGUCUGUUACAUCAAAGUCUGCUAUAGAAGUCGCGGUCUUCAACUGCGAUGGCGAUCUGGUAUGUCACAGGAAUUUGUUUAAAAGUCAUGACGUAAAGGACAGGUUUUCUGUUGCGUGUGCGCGAAACCGAAGCACCUUAUGUUUACAUUGCAUUUGAAAAACAUGUGGUUCGGUACGAUCCUGUUCUGUUAAAGCAUGAAAACUGUCAUAAUCUCAAUCAUCAACGGUCAGAAUGUUCUUUGGUAGUUCUUGGAGAUUUCAUUUACGCUCUUGGUGGCCACCAUAAUGGCAAUAAUGUGUUAGAAAUAGAAGAACUGGACACAAAGCACCAUCGAAAUAAGUUCUUGCUUAAAAAGUCAUGGAAAACAAUUGCACAUCUACCGGACAACGUAAAACUUUCAUUCGCCCCAUGUAUGACUUAUUUGAAUAAGAUAUACAUUGUUGCCGAAAUAUUAAGUAAUGAAAAUAUAAAGUCGACGGGCCUUUUAACCUUUGACCCAAAUGAAAAUUCAGUCGAAAUAGUGGCCAAUUUUUUAAAAAAUUGUUCGGACUGUAGAGCCGUUCUCUAUGAUUCGAAAAUAUUCAUUGCUUCAAGCGAGGGAUAUUUUCUGCAAUAUGACAUCGAGACAAAAACAUUUUCUUCCUGUAAAGAUUUACCUACGAAAGGAAAUAAUUUUGGAAUGUAUGCUGCAAGAAACAAUAUUUACUUUGUUGGCGCGUCCGUUUCCGAUAAUAACAUUAAUAGAUUUGAAAAAGAUGGAUAUGAUAUUCAGACAAACAGUUGGAAACGAGAACGAAACCUACCAUGUAAUCUUCCAAUUUAUGGAAGCUGUGACAUUAAAGUCCCUUCCUACACUAAUUUGAUCCCAUUUAAUGAUUCAAGGUGACUAGACAGCCAUUUGUUAAGUUGUAAUACUAAUAUCGUUGAUUCUUUGCUUUCUAUAAACUCAUUGAUAUGUUUAAAAAUUAAAUUUCCAAAUUGUAAAUCAUAUGUUGAGUUUUCCUAGGAUUGAAAUCAUUUGCCUGAAGGAUGUAAUUUAAUUUAGCAAUAUUAACGAACUAAUAGUACUGCAUGAAAACUCAAAUCAAAACAUUGGAUCAACAACUGUUUUUGUAUGAUAUUUAGGUCAUGUAUUGGAAUCGAUAUUUUGUAGCGUACAUUUAUAAAAAAUAAUGCA
RNAcentral lists this long non-coding RNA (11384 nucleotides) under Mytilus galloprovincialis (Mediterranean mussel). The record is from RNAcentral. Lineage: Eukaryota; Metazoa; Mollusca; Bivalvia; Mytilida; Mytilidae.